GGUUCUGUAGUGUAGAGGUUAUCACAUUCGGUUCUGAUUCAGCAUAAUUGGAGGUCUCCGAAUAACCCCGGUUCGAGUCCGGGCAGGACCU
Molecule: transfer RNA, 91 nt
Filed under: Ramalina farinacea
Lineage: Eukaryota; Fungi; Ascomycota; Lecanoromycetes; Lecanorales; Ramalinaceae
Rfam family: tRNA
About the family: Transfer RNA (tRNA) molecules are approximately 80 nucleotides in length. Their secondary structure includes four short double-helical elements and three loops (D, anti-codon, and T loops).
Source: Rfam by way of RNAcentral